CCCUGCUACAGCAGGUAAAGUAUGAUUGUAGCAAAUGUGGGAUGAUUCUUGGACCAUUUUUCCAGAACUCAUAUUCGGAGGUCAAGGUUGGUUCGUGCCCAGAAUGCCAGUCUAAAGGACAAUUCACUGUCAAUAUUGAGUUAACAAUUUAUAAGAAUUAUCAAGAACUUACUCUGCAAGAGAGCCCGGGAAUUGUGCCUCUAGGUCGACUUCCAAGAUAGAAGGAAGUGAUACUCUUCAAUGAUCUAAUUGACAGUGCUCGCCUUGGGGAAGAGAUCGUAGAGCUUUGACUUGUAUUUAUAAUUCUUUUGUUGUUAUUUGGGUUAGUGAUUAUCUUUUGAUUUUUUCUCCUUUGUUCCAUGUAUUCUUUUAGGAGGUCAUUGGCAUUUACACAAACAACUUUGACUUGUCUUUGAACGCUAAAAAUGGAUUUCCUCUGUUUGCCAUUGUCGUUGAGGCAAACUAUGUUACAAAGAAGCAAGACCUCUUUUCAACUUACAAACUCACAGAGGAGGACAAAGAAGAGAUUUAGAAGUUAUCUAAGGAUCCAAAUAUCGGAGAAAAGAUUAUCAAGUCAAUUGCCCCCUCAAUCUAUAGCCAUGAGGAUAUAAAAACUGCAAUAGCUCUUGCGAUGUUCAGAGGUCAAGAGAAAAAUGUCCACGGGAAGCAUCGGUUGCGUGGGGACAUAAAUGUGCUCCCGCUAGGUGAUCCGGGAACAGCCAAAUCUCAGUUUCUCAAAUAAGAGAUAGCCCUAAUUCCCAGCUUAUAUAUGAAGUGACUUGGUCUCUUAAAUGUGUCAAGUUUUGAUUGUUUGAUAUUCUUCCUAAGGUAUGUUGAAAAGAUCGGCCGUAGGGCUGUCUACACAACUGGGAGGGGAGCUUCUGCUAUUGGGCUAACAGCAGCAAUGCACAAGGACCCAGUCACAUGAGAGUGGACACUUGAACGAGGAGCCCUUGUACUUGCUGACAAAGGGAUCUGCCUUAUUUGAUGAGUUUGACAAGAUGAAUGAUCAGGACAAGGUAAGCAUCCAUCAA
Rhododendron vialii is the source of this 1034-nucleotide long non-coding RNA. RefSeq lists it as uncharacterized. Lineage: Eukaryota; Viridiplantae; Streptophyta; Magnoliopsida; Ericales; Ericaceae. The record is from RefSeq and is a predicted model, not a curated record. The transcript has 4 exons.